Non-coding RNA from Paramuricea clavata, 2552 nucleotides. The record is from the annotation of a GenBank genome assembly. NCBI's taxonomy places the organism in Eukaryota, Metazoa, Cnidaria, Anthozoa, Malacalcyonacea, Plexauridae.
CGAAAUUUCUCUUUGUCUUUUUACAAUUAGUUCUGCUCGAGAGCUCAUGAAACAAAGAGAAAUUUCGAUUCGGUCGAAAAAUUUCGCUUAGUGGAAAACCGCCUUAAAGCCUUGCUCGAAUUUUUUUGGGGGGGGGAUUUCUGCAACCACCCCCUCAAAUAUCUAAUGGUCCGUCCCUUAUAGAGAUUUCGAGCACUGAUAAAAGUGAUAAUCUCACAUGUGAGAUUAUUUAUGAUAAUCUCACAUGUGAAAAUUAUCGCUUUUCAAUUUUCACUUUUCUGUAAAAGUUAUCGUUUUCUAAAGACUGUCCUUUAUAUAAUAAACAGAAAAAUACAUGGGUGCUUGGAAAUACCAGAUUUAUUUCUCGUGUUGAACAUGAUAUCCCACUCGUUCGCUGCGCUCACUCGUGAGAUAUCAUGUUCAACACUCGAAAUAAAUCUGGUAUUUCUCUAUAUACCCAAUAGCUAGGUGUCAGUAAAUAUUUGACUAAAAUAUAUUAAAACUUUUAAUAAAACUGUGCCUCCCUUGUUUGAUGUGCCGAACAUAAAAUAAAUACCUUGUUUUGUCUUACUUUCAAUAUUUCGAUUAUUUUUCGAAUAUUAUAAUUUGAUUCCCUUGCCAAACUUAGGAAUAAAUAUAACUAAGUCUAAGUAUAACCAUGUUAUAACUAAUUACUAUGCAGUGCAGGACGUCGCCAGUAGCAGGCAACCAGAACUGCAGAAUUGCGUUGUUUAUAUCUCAGGAUUUCUCUUGGCAGAUAUUCUCCAUGCAGAUAUUAUUAUUGCUAUUCAAAGUGUUUUAGGCCAGCUUAUAAUAUGCUGUUGCAAAGGGUUUAUUACAGUUGAACUAUAACAUGCGGGAUUGAACCUGAGACUGGAAAUUUUGACAUGCAUGUGCAUAUCAAAAUAUUUAACUGUUAAAUACUCUUAAUUGUUAGUCAAAACGCCUUCGUCUCACCCCCACCCCCGUCGUGCAUGCACCACUGAAUGGAGACCUUUAGCACAGAUUAUAGAUAGACCUUACAUAAGCCGUCUCAGCUAAAAAAGCGUAACGUCUGCCACGCCAUGAUUCGUCAUCAAAAUACACUCGCCAUGUUACUGGUCAGUGCGCUUACGAGAGGCAUUCGUUCCCUAAACGUCCACCAUUUGAAUUGUCAGGGGAGUGAAUGACUCUCGUAAGUGCACUGGCUAGGAACAUGAUUCCGAUUCCCUAUGCACGGGAUUCUCUUCCUUGCCUCAAUUCACCAAUCCCUUAUAAAACCCGCCAGCUACGUACUGUAGGCUACCUGAGCCUACCUCCAAUUGCGUCCCCACUGAGAUAUUGAGCAAAUAAAAAAAACCCGAUUCAGAACACCUCACUCUGUUUUGGGAGUAUUUUUCAGAGACAAAGUUAACACUUAACAGUUCUAAACAAAUUAAUAUAUGUGCAUUGCUGAAAUCUUAUGCAUUAUGUAAAUGAAUAUGAAAUUGUACUAUUCCCGAAAUGCAUCCAGUAAUAGAGUGUCAGUCAUCCGUGGUAUGGAAAUCAUUCCUGUGUGCGGUGUGCCCAAGUCGAGUUUCGCAGAAUAGACGUCCAGUAACAAGUUCUUAAGUCUGCUCUACGUCACCUCCAUCUUCCACAAUGAUAUUUGUGUGUCUAAUGUGAACAAUAAUGUACAAAAGGCACAGAUCCUCUUUGAACAAUCAUAUGCAGACCUUUCACUGCUGACCAAAAAAGUGAACAAACAGUCCACUUCUUUUGCACACUCUUUUCAGCAACGGUACUAACGGUAUUGGUCUUGCUUGAAUUUAAUGAAUCGUUUUUGUUGGAUGUUACUUGCAGCUCUCUACAUUCGAUACAUUCUUUUGCACCUUGUGAAAACACAAGAAUAUUUUAACGAAUUAUUUAACGCACGUUGUUAGCUCGAGAAUCGUUACGUGGUCGAGGGCCACGGACUGAAAUAUUUCUAUUUUGAUCUUAAUGUUGAGUAUUCAGCAGCAACCGCAAGCAUCAAGCGCAUAUUCUUGGAGAAUAGUUACUGAACAACAGAGGAAUAAGAGGAGAACACAAAUUACCAGUUAGGCAAGUAAAUUUUUGUUCGAAUACAUGUGUAUUAUACCUUACUUGUAUUAAAAUUCGCGCAGUACUAGAAUUCGCGCAGCGCUAGGUGCGCAAAUUUUAGGCUGCGCGAAAUAUAAUCCGCGCGAAAAGCUUUGUGGUGUAAUAUGAGACACUCAUCUUCAUCCUGGACACAACGAAAAGAGGAUCCAUUUGUACUCUAGCUAAAAUUUUGUUUGAUUUAUAAAGUAUAAUGUUAGGCAAUACCAUUUAUGAACCUGUAAUAUAUGGGAAAUGGGAAUGCUAAUAAAGAUUAUUGUUGUUGUUGCCGUUGUCGUUGUCAUUGGUAUUGUUCAGAACCAUACAAUAAUUUUUUUAGUUCUUGUUGGUAUUUUGAACUCACGCUUUAUUGUUAUCAUGAAUUUUGCUUACAUAACAUAAUUUUUAAGCCAUUUUUGAGGCCACCUAAUCGGUUUUUGAUUAAGUUUUGACAAAUAUUGAAGAAUUUGUUGAUU